UCCUUAGAUGUUCUGGGCUGCAUGCGCGCUACACUGAAGCUAUCAACACGUUUUCCCUCCCUGAGAAGGGCGGGUAACCUUUUGAAUCAGCUUCGUGGUAGGGAUCGGGGCUUGCAAUUGUUCCCCGUGAACCAGGAAUUCCUAGUAGACGCGAGUCAUAAGCUCGCAUCGAUUAAGUCCCUGCCCUUUGUACACACCGCCCGUCGCUACUACCGAUUGAACGUUUUAGUGAGGCAUUUGGACCGACGCAUCUCAGUUUAACCGCUGGUUUGUGUUGGAAAGACUUCCAAACUUGAGCGUUUAGAGGAAGUAAAAGUCGUAACA
RNAcentral lists this ribosomal RNA (324 nucleotides) under uncultured eukaryote. RNAcentral's name for it is "partial 18S ribosomal RNA". It matches the Rfam family "Eukaryotic small subunit ribosomal RNA", at positions 1470 to 1796 of the family's 1831-position model. The record is from RNAcentral.